Molecule: ribosomal RNA, 472 nt
Filed under: uncultured bacterium
Lineage: Bacteria
Description: partial 16S ribosomal RNA
Rfam family: Bacterial small subunit ribosomal RNA
Source: RNAcentral
AUAAACGCUGGCGGCGCCCAUAAGACAUGCCAGUUGAACGGACUUAAUCGAAAUAUUUAUAUUUUGAAGCGGUUAGUGGCGGACUGGUGAGUAACGCGUAAGGAACCUGCCUAUUAGAGGGGAAUAACAGUGAGAAAUCAUUGCUAAUACCGCAUAUGCCAUAGAUAUCACAUGAUAACAGUGGGAAAGGAGCAAUCCGCUAAUAGAUGGCCUUGCGUCUGAUUAGAUAGUUGGUGGGGUAACGGCCUACCAAGUCGACGAUCAGUAGCCGGACUGAGAGGUUGAACGGCCACAUUGGGACUGAGAUACGGACCAGACUCCUACGGGAGGCAGCAGUCGGGAAUAUUGCGCAAUGGAGGAAACUCUGACGCAGUGACGCCGCGUAUAGGAAGAAGGUUUUCGGAUUGGAAACUAUUGUCGUUAGGGAAGAGAAAGGACAGUACCUAAGGAGGAAGCUCCGGCUAACUACGUG